Molecule: transfer RNA, 71 nt
Filed under: Xenodermichthys copei (bluntnose smooth-head)
Lineage: Eukaryota; Metazoa; Chordata; Actinopteri; Alepocephaliformes; Alepocephalidae
Description: tRNA-Ile
Source: RNAcentral
GGAACUGUGCCCGAACUCAAGGAUCAUUUUGAUUAAAUGACAAAUGUGGAUUAAAACUUCCCCCUGUUCCU